This 237-nucleotide long non-coding RNA is filed under the name Hordeum vulgare. RNAcentral's name for it is "long non-coding RNA (HVUL_LNC019069)". Lineage: Eukaryota; Viridiplantae; Streptophyta; Magnoliopsida; Poales; Poaceae. The record is from RNAcentral.
ACAACAACAACGAUGAUGAAGACGACGACGACAACGACGAAAACAACGAUCACGAUGAGAACAACGACAUCAUCGAAAACAAGAAUAACAACGACAACAACGACAACAGCGACAACAACGACAACAACAAUAACAAAAACAACGACGACGACGACGACGGCGACAACAACAACAACAACAACAACAACAACAACAACAACAACAACAACAAAAACAACAACGACGACAACAACAACA